UGCUCCUUUGACGUUAGCGGCGGACGGGUGAGUAACACGUGGGUAACCUACCUAUAAGACUGGGAUAACUUCGGGAAACCGGAGCUAAUACCGGAUAAUAUUUCGAACCGCAUGGUUCGAUAGUGAAAGAUGGUUUUGCUAUCACUUAUAGAUGGACCCGCGCCGUAUUAGCUAGUUGGUAAGGUAACGGCUUACCAAGGCGACGAUACGUAGCCGACCUGAGAGGGUGAUCGGCCACACUGGAACUGAGACACGGUCCAGACUCCUACGGGAGGCAGCAGUAGGGAAUCUUCCGCAAUGGGCGAAAGCCUGACGGAGCAACGCCGCGUGAGUGAUGAAGGUCUUCGGAUCGUAAAACUCUGUUAUUAGGGAAGAACAUACGUGUAAGUAACUAUGCACGUCUUGACGGUACCUAAUCAGAAAGCCACGGCUAACUACGUGCCAGCAGCCGCGGUAAUACGUAGGUGGCAAGCGUUAUCCGGAAUUAUUGGGCGUAAAGCGCGCG
RNAcentral lists this ribosomal RNA (505 nucleotides) under Staphylococcus haemolyticus. Its description in RNAcentral is "bacterial SSU rRNA". It matches the Rfam family "Bacterial small subunit ribosomal RNA", at positions 79 to 571 of the family's 1533-position model. The record is from RNAcentral. Lineage: Bacteria; Bacillati; Bacillota; Bacilli; Caryophanales; Staphylococcaceae.